GGAUCUCGUAGGUGACCUGCGGAGGGUCAUUACACAAAUAUGAAGGCGGGCUGGAACCUCUCGGGGUUACAGCCUUGCUGAAUUAUUCACCCUUGUCUUUUGCGUACUUCUUGUUUCCUUGGUGGGUUCGCCCACCACUAGGACAAACAUAAACCUUUUGUAAUUGCAAUCAGCGUCAGUAACAAAUUAAUAAUUACAACUUUCAACAACGGAUCUCUUGGUUCUGGCAUCGAUGAAGAACGCAGCGAAAUGCGAUAAGUAGUGUGAAUUGCAGAAUUCAGUGAAUCAUCGAAUCUUUGAACGCACAUUGCGCCCUUUGGUAUUCCAAAGGGCAUGCCUGUUCGAGCGUCAUUUGUACCCUCAAGCUUUGCUUGGUGUUGGGCGUCUUGUCUCUAGCUUUGCUGGAGACUCGCCUUAAAGUAAUUGGCAGCCGGCCUACUGGUUUCGGAGCGCAGCACAAGUCGCACUCUCUAUCAGCAAAGGUCUAGCAUCCAUUAAGCCUUUUUUUCAACUUUUGACCUCGGAUCAGGUAGGGAUACCCGCUGAACUUAA
This 552-nucleotide ribosomal RNA is filed under the name Alternaria alternata. Its description in RNAcentral is "eukaryotic LSU rRNA". The stretch from base 198 to 351 matches the Rfam family "5.8S ribosomal RNA". Lineage: Eukaryota; Fungi; Ascomycota; Dothideomycetes; Pleosporales; Pleosporaceae. The record is from RNAcentral.